RNAcentral lists this ribosomal RNA (795 nucleotides) under uncultured Methanosarcinaceae archaeon. Its description in RNAcentral is "bacterial SSU rRNA". It matches the Rfam family "Archaeal small subunit ribosomal RNA", at positions 85 to 879 of the family's 1478-position model. The record is from RNAcentral. Lineage: Archaea; Methanobacteriati; Methanobacteriota; Methanomicrobia; Methanosarcinales; Methanosarcinaceae.
ACUGCUCGUAACACGUGGAUAACCUGCCCUUGGGUCCGGCAUAACCCCGGGAAACUGGGGAUAAUUCCGGAUAACGCACAUAUGCUGGAAUGCUUUAUGCGUAAAAUGGAUUCGUCUGCCCAAGGAUGGGUCUGCGGCCUAUCAGGUAGUAGUGGGUGUAAUGUACCUACUAGCCAACAACGGGUACGGGUUGUGAGAGCAAGAGCCCGGAGAUGGAUUCUGAGACAUGAAUCCAGGCCCUACGGGGCGCAGCAGGCGCGAAAACUUUACAAUGCGGGAAACCGUGAUAAGGGGACACCGAGUGCCAGCAUCAUAUGCUGGCUGUCCAGGUGUGUAAAAUACACCUGUUAGCAAGGGCCGGGCAAGACCGGUGCCAGCCGCCGCGGUAACACCGGCGGCCCGAGUGGUGAUCGUGAUUAUUGGGUCUAAAGGGUCCGUAGCCGGUUUGGUCAGUCCUCCGGGAAAUCUGACGGCUUAACCGUUAGGCUUUCGGGGGAUACUGCCAGGCUUGGAACCGGGAGAGGUAAGAGGUACUACAGGGGUAGGAGUGAAAUCUUGUAAUCCCUGUGGGACCACCUGUGGCGAAGGCGUCUUACCAGAACGGGUUCGACGGUGAGGGACGAAAGCUGGGGGCACGAACCGGAUUAGAUACCCGGGUAGUCCCAGCCGUAAACGAUGCUCGCUAGGUGUCAGGCAUGGCGCGACCGUGUCUGGUGCCGCAGGGAAGCCGUGAAGCGAGCCACCUGGGAAGUACGGCCGCAAGGCUGAAACUUAAAGGAAUUGGCGGGGGAGCAC